This 1482-nucleotide ribosomal RNA is filed under the name metagenome. Its description in RNAcentral is "bacterial SSU rRNA". It matches the Rfam family "Bacterial small subunit ribosomal RNA". The record is from RNAcentral.
AGAGUUUGAUCCUGGCUCAGGAUGAACGCUAGCGGCAGGCUUAACACAUGCAAGUCGAGGGGUAACAGGUCGGAGUAAUCUGAUGCUGACGACCGGCGCACGGGUGAGUAACGCGUAUACAACUUGCCUCUAACUGGAGCAUAGCCCGGAGAAAUUCGGAUUAAUACUUCAUAACAUUACGAAUUCGCAUGUUUUUGUAAUUAAAGUUUCGACGGUUAGAGAUGGGUAUGCGUGCCAUUAGCUUGUUGGUAAGGUAACGGCUUACCAAGGCAACGAUGGCUAGGGGGUCUGAGAGGAUGGUCCCCCACACUGGUACUGAGACACGGACCAGACUCCUACGGGAGGCAGCAGUGAGGAAUAUUGGUCAAUGGGCGAAAGCCUGAACCAGCCAUGCCGCGUGCAGGAUGACAGCCCUACGGGUUGUAAACUGCUUUUGUAUUCCAAGAAACUUCUCAACGUGUUGAGAAUUGACGGUAGAAUACGAAUAAGCAUCGGCUAACUCCGUGCCAGCAGCCGCGGUAAUACGGAGGAUGCAAGCGUUAUCCGGAUUUAUUGGGUUUAAAGGGUGCGUAGGCGGAAUAAUAAGUCAGUGGUGAAAUCUUACAGCUUAACUGUGAAACUGCCAUUGAAACUGUUAUUCUUGAGUAUAGUUGAGGUAGGCGGAAUGUGUAGUGUAGCGGUGAAAUGCUUAGAUAUUACACAGAACACCAAUUGCGUAGGCAGCUUACUAAACUAUCACUGACGCUGAGGCACGAAAGCGUGGGGAGCGAACAGGAUUAGAUACCCUGGUAGUCCACGCUGUAAACUAUGAUCACUCGCUGUUGGCAACAAAUCGUCAGCGGCUGAGCGAAAGCAUUAAGUGAUCCACCUGGGGAGUACGUUGGCAACGAUGAAACUCAAAGGAAUUGACGGGGGCCCGCACAAGCGGAGGAACAUGUGGUUUAAUUCGAUGAUACGCGAGGAACCUUACCUGGGCUUAAAUGCAUUUUGACAUCCCGAGAAAUCGGGACUCCUUCGGGCAAAUUGCAAGGUGCUGCAUGGUUGUCGUCAGCUCGUGCCGUGAGGUGUCGGGUUAAGUCCCAUAACGAGCGCAACCCCUAUCGUUAGUUACCAGCGAGUAAUGUCGGGGACUCUAACGAAACUGCCGGUGUAAACCGAGAGGAAGGUGGGGAUGACGUCAAAUCAACACGGCCCUUACGUCCAGGGCUACACACGUGUUACAAUGGCAAGUACAAAGGGCAGCUACCAGGCAACUGGAUGCAAAUCUCUAAAGCUUGUCUCAGUUCGGAUCGGAGUCUGCAACUCGACUUCGUGAAGUUGGAUUCGCUAGUAAUCGCGCAUCAGCCACGGCGCGGUGAAUACGUUCCCGGGCCUUGUACACACCGCCCGUCAAGCCAUGGAAGCCGGGGGUACCUGAAGUUCGUAACCGCAAGGAGCGACCUAGGGUAAAUCUGGUGACUGGGGCUAAGUCGUAACAAGGUA